AGUUGAGGCCACUGAUUGGCCCAUGAACUCGCAAGUGUAGGUAGUGUGCUACAUGAGAGGCAAGUUCUCGCUGACACCACAAGGGUCCCCGGCCCAAUGAGUGGAGUUGGAU
This 112-nucleotide small RNA is filed under the name Oryctolagus cuniculus (rabbit). The record is from RNAcentral. Lineage: Eukaryota; Metazoa; Chordata; Mammalia; Lagomorpha; Leporidae.